RNAcentral lists this transfer RNA (87 nucleotides) under Rhodospirillaceae bacterium. RNAcentral's name for it is "tRNA-Leu". It matches the Rfam family "tRNA". From Rfam's summary of the family: Transfer RNA (tRNA) molecules are approximately 80 nucleotides in length. Lineage: Bacteria; Pseudomonadati; Pseudomonadota; Alphaproteobacteria; Rhodospirillales; Rhodospirillaceae. The record is from RNAcentral.
GCGGGUGUGGUGGAAUUGGUAGACACGCUAGGUUUAGGUCCUAGUGGCUGAAAGGCCUUAGGGGUUCGAGUCCCUUCACCCGCACCA